AAUAUUGCGCAAUGGGGAGAACCCUGACGCAGCAACGCCGCGUGAGGGACGAAGGUUUUCGGAUCGUAAAGCCCUGUCAUUGGGGAGGAAAAGAUGGCGGUACCCAAGUCGGAAGCCCCUGCUAACUACGUGCCAGCAGCCGCGGUAAUACGUAGGGGGCGAGCGUUGUCCGGAAGUACCGGGCGUAAAGGGUGCGUAGGCGUCCUUUUAAGUCAGAUGUGAAAGCCCACGGCUUAACCGUGGGAUUGCAUUUGAAACUGGAAGGCUUGAGUAUCGGAGAGGGUAGUGGAAUUCCCAGUGUAGCGGUGGAAUGCGUAGAUAUUGGGAGGAACACCAGUGGCGAAGGCGACUACCUGGACGAAAACUGACGCUGAGGCACGAAAGCUAGGGGAGCAAACA
This 399-nucleotide ribosomal RNA is filed under the name uncultured bacterium. Its description in RNAcentral is "partial 16S ribosomal RNA". It matches the Rfam family "Bacterial small subunit ribosomal RNA", at positions 360 to 774 of the family's 1533-position model. The record is from RNAcentral.